This 167-nucleotide ribosomal RNA is filed under the name uncultured bacterium. RNAcentral's name for it is "partial 16S rRNA". It matches the Rfam family "Bacterial small subunit ribosomal RNA", at positions 355 to 511 of the family's 1533-position model. The record is from RNAcentral.
UAGGGGAUCUUCGGCAAUGGACGGAAAGUCUGACCGAGCAACGCCGCGUGAGUGAAGAAGGUUUUCGGAUCGUAAAACUCUGUUGGUAGAGAAGAACGUUGGUGAGAGUGGAAAGCUCAUCAAGUGACGGUAACUACCCAGAAAGGGACGGCUAAACUACGUGCCAG